Molecule: ribosomal RNA, 501 nt
Filed under: uncultured bacterium
Lineage: Bacteria
Description: partial 16S ribosomal RNA
Rfam family: Bacterial small subunit ribosomal RNA
Source: RNAcentral
AUUGAACGCUGGCGGCAUGCCUUACACAUGCAAGUCGAACGGCAGCACGGGUGCUUGCACCUGGUGGCGAGUGGCGAACGGGUGAGUAAUACAUCGGAACGUACCUUAUCGUGGGGGAUAACGCAGCGAAAGCUGUUCUAAUACCGCAUACGCCCUGAGGGGGAACGCGGGGGAUCGAAAGACCUCUCGCGAUUAGAGAGGCCGAUGCCUGAUUAGCUUGUUGGUGGGGUAAAAGCCCACCAAGGGGACGAUCAGUAGCUGGUCUGAGAGGACGAUCAGCCACACUGGGACUGAGAUACGGCCCAGACUCCUACGGGAGGCAGCAGUGGGGAAUUUUGGACAAUGGGGGCAACCCUGAUCCAGCAAUGCCGCGUGAGUGAAGAAGGCCUUCGGGUUGUAAAGCUCUUUUGUCAGGGAAGAAACACCGGCUCUAACACAGUCCGGGAAUGACGGUACCUGAAGAAUAAGCACCGGCUAACUACGUGCCAGCAGCCGCAGUAA